Nothobranchius furzeri (turquoise killifish) is the source of this 1615-nucleotide long non-coding RNA. NCBI's taxonomy places the organism in Eukaryota, Metazoa, Chordata, Actinopteri, Cyprinodontiformes, Nothobranchiidae. The record is from Ensembl.
UAGCAUGCGUCCGUACUAUCUGCCCCGGGAAUUCUCGCAUGUUAUCGCGAUAACAGUGUAUGUCCCCCCCUCAGCUAAUGCCGAGGCAGCCUGUGAGUCUCUUCACUCUGUGGUUAGCAGACUGCAAACGCAAUCCCCGAGAGCCUUCUUUAUAAUAUCUGGGGACUUUAAUCAUGCCUCACUGGACUCUUCGAUGCCUACCUUCACCCAGUAUGUGACCUGCCCGACCAGGGAAAAUAAAACACUGGACCUACUGUAUGCCAAUGCUGAAAAGGCAUAUAGUUCAUCACCUUUCCCUCCUCUGGGCAGAUCUGAUCACAACUUGGUGUAUCUUGCUCCUGUGUAUGAGCCUUUGGUGCGAAGGGAGCCACCAGCCACCCGUAUAAUACAGAGAUGUUCGGAGGAGAGUGAGGAGGUCCUUAAGGACUGUUUUGAGACAACUGUGUGGGGGGUGUUCUGUGAAGAUCAUGGAGAUGACAUCGACAGCCUCACUGAAUGCAUUACUGACUAUAUUAAUUUUUGUGUGGAUAGCAUUAUCCCUAUCAGGACUGUACGGUGUUUCUCUAAUAACAAACCCUGGAUUACUCCUGAAAUAAAAGAAGCCCUCAAGCAGAAGAAGCGGGCCUUCAAACUCAGAGACAAAGAGGAGUUGAAAAGAGUGCAGAGAGAACUGAGGAGACUGAUAAGGAGUGGGAAGGACACCUACAGGCAGAGGAUGGAGAACCAGCUUCAGCAAAGCAAUGUUGGUGAAGUCUGGAGAGGCCUUAGAACCAUCUCAGGUCAUAAACAUCAGAACUCUCUGCCUGUGAGGGAUGUGAGGUGGGCUAAUGAACUGAAUCAAUUCUUUAAUAGAUUUGACUCGGCUACGAGGCAGACCUCAACGUCGGCUGCUGACUCUCCCACCCUCUCUACCACUGUUUCGCCUCUGACCUCUCACCCCUCCUCACCUUCACUAACAGUAUCUAGUACACACUUUACGCAAGGCCCCGGCUGGUCCCUCUCUACCACACAGGUGAGGGGGGAAAUGAGGAGGAUAAAUGGCAGGAAGGCAGCGGGUCCAGAUGGUAUCAGCGCAUGGGUGGUCAGGUCCUGCGCGGACCAACUGUGUGAGGUAAUCGGGCACCUUUUCAACCUGAGCCUGAGGCUGGGAAGAGUCCCAAAACUCUGGAAAACAUCUUGUGUAGUUCCGGCGCCAAAGACUUCACGCCCCAAGGAUUUUAACAGCUACAGGCCGGUGGCUCUAACAUCCCAACUGAUGAAGACUCUGGAGCGGUUGGUUCUGGUUCGGCACCUACUGGGCUCUUCACUGGACCCGCUUCAGUUUGCCUAUCAAACUGGCAUUGGUGCUGAUGAUGCGGUCAUCUACCUCCUGCAUCGCUCGCUCGCUCACCUGGAGACUGUUGGGAGUACUGUGAGGAUCAUGUUUUUUGACUUCUCCAGUGCCUUCAAUACCAUUCUUCCCUCGGUUCUGAAGGACAAACUGGUGAACGCUGGAGUGGAUCAUCACUUCGCUACCUGGAUUCUGGACUACCUUUCUGACCGACCACAGUAUGUGAGGACUCAGGGCUGUGUGUCGGAUAGUGUCNNNNNNNNNNNNNNNNNNNNNNNNNNNNNN